CUAAGUAUAUACUCUGCUCCUCUCUUCAUCUCUUACCCGAUCCCCAAUUCCAGUGCCGCCUAGUUGCCCCUCUCCCUUCUCUCUACGUCAUCGUCGACCAUCAAGGUUGGACGCCAACCGCGAGAUAUCAGUGAUCCACUCUUGUGUGCCACUGCAUCCUCUCCGUCCUGACUCUGCUAUGCAUCCUUUGCCAUAAUGCCACCAGAUUUUGAUUUGAGCCAAUGUCGUUUAAUCCAUCGUCGGUCGAGCUUUCCUCCUCCACCGAUCACCUAAUUUUUUCCGGUGAUUGUCCUUCUCGCCGAGUCGCCACCCGUGCGGGCGGAUCUUCAGCCAAGAGGGAAAGCUUGAGCCCUAGCAUCGAACUUCCCUCGCCGCACUUGCGUGCCAGAGCACCGACCAUCGGAAUCCUCUGCUCCAGCUAAUCAUUGCUGGAGAUCGAGCUCUCUCACUCCAGAUCCUCUCCUCCGCUCAGUGCUAGAUUUCAUUUGGGUCUUGGUCGUCGGUGGCUAGCUACCGCCACCUGAUUCUUCACUAAGGAUAUCCCUCUAUCUUUAGGGAUAGUGUUGGACCUUACCCCUUGGUCCGAAGAGUAGCUUCUGUCCAUGAGAAAGUCCAAGGAUGCAAUGUCUAAAACCUUGCUAAGUUCCUGACCACGACAUUGGAAGGAGGUAGAUGAUACAAUGACACUUAGAGGAUCCUGACUGUCAGUUCCACGACGCAUCCGAUGACGGUUUUCUAAUUUUGUUUCUUAUCUUAUUUAUGUUUUGAAUUUGUGAACUUGGUACUAUAAUAACUCCAUAUGGACUUAGAGUUUAGCUUUGUGGUUUCUUGUAUCUGGUUUGAUAUUGUCGUGUCAAGUCGAGUCGGCUCACAGUUAGUUGUUUUGUAGUUUUGUGUUAGCUAUUUUGUGACUUUCGUUGUGUUUUGUUACAACUGUGUAGGCUACUUAUUAUACAACUGCGUGAUUAUAUUCUUUUUAUUCUAGUCAUGUGGACUGUGCAUAUAACUACGUGGUUGUGUAUUUUCCAACAGUGUGGGCCGUUGUUGAUGACUUGUGAGUAGUCUUGUGGCAUUGUAUACAUGUUUCAUUUGUCAUUACUACAGGGGAGGUGUUACCCGAUUUUCGUUAGAAAACCUUCCCUUCGGGGCGUGACAAGGCGCCUCUUCGAGACGUUACUGCGGAUGAUAAUUUAGAGUCCACAUCAACAACACCCCAGGUGCCUAGACCAGUCCAGACGCACGGGUUCCGAUAAAGUGUUAUCAUCAAGCUGUUGUGAGUAGAUAAGGUGCAUCACUGGGGCGUUCGGACUCGAUCCAGGCACUCGAAGUUGCCACGUCAGCCAAUAGUCAAAUCUGACUAGAGGGCUAUAAAAGGAGAGCUUGUUCUCUUUUUCAAAUAACACAUUUUCUGUAAUCUCAUUUCUAAUUCUGUGUUUUUAAUUUACACUUUCAACGCUUGUACGAGAUUUCUCUGCC
This is a long non-coding RNA of Zingiber officinale, 1476 nucleotides long. RefSeq lists it as uncharacterized. Lineage: Eukaryota; Viridiplantae; Streptophyta; Magnoliopsida; Zingiberales; Zingiberaceae. The transcript has 3 exons. The record is from RefSeq and is a predicted model, not a curated record.